This 800-nucleotide ribosomal RNA is filed under the name uncultured bacterium. RNAcentral's name for it is "bacterial SSU rRNA". It matches the Rfam family "Bacterial small subunit ribosomal RNA", at positions 9 to 844 of the family's 1533-position model. The record is from RNAcentral.
GAGUUUGAUCCUGGCUCAGAAUCAACGCUGGCGGCGCGCUUAACACAUGCAAGUCGAACGAGAAAGCCCGCAAGGGUGAGUAAAGUGGCGUACGGGUGAGUAACACGUGGGUAAUCUACCUUUUGGUGGGGAAUAACCCUGGGAAACCGGGGCUAAUACCGCAUAAGCUCGAAAGAGGAAAAGAGAAAUUUGCCGAAAGAGGAGCCCGCGGCUGAUUAGCUAGUUGGUGAGGUAAAGGCUCACCAAGGCGAAGAUCGGUAGCCGGCCUGAGAGGGCACACGGCCACACUGGCACUGAAACACGGGCCAGACUCCUACGGGAGGCAGCAGUGGGGAAUCUUGCACAAUGGGGGCAACCCUGAUGCAGCGACGCCGCGUGAGCGAUGAAGCCCUUCGGGGUGUAAAGCUCUUUCGACCGGAACGAUAAUGACGGUACCGGGAGAAGAAGCUGCGGCUAACUACGUGCCAGCAGCCGCGGUAAUACGUAGGCAGCGAGCGUUGUUCGGAGUUACUGGGCGUAAAGCGUGCGUAGGCGGUGCCAUAAGUCUGUUGUGAAAUCUCCCGGCUCAACUGGGAGGGUGCGGUGGAAACUGUGGUGCUGGAGUGUGGGAGAGGUAGGCGGAAUUCCUGGUGUAGCGGUGAAAUGCGUAGAUAUCAGGAGGAACACCUGUGGUGUAGACGGCUUACUGGACCAUGACUGACGCUGAGGCACGAAAGCGUGGGGAGCAAACAGGAUUAGAUACCCUGGUAGUCCACGCCCUAAACGAUGCAUACUUGGUGUGGGCAGUUCAUUCUGUCUGU